RNAcentral lists this ribosomal RNA (364 nucleotides) under uncultured bacterium. Its description in RNAcentral is "partial 16S ribosomal RNA". It matches the Rfam family "Bacterial small subunit ribosomal RNA", at positions 338 to 699 of the family's 1533-position model. The record is from RNAcentral.
CCUACGGGUGGCAGCAGUGAGGAAUAUUGGUCAAUGGCCGGAAGGCUGAACCAGCCAUGCCGCGUGAAGGUCAGUGCCCUAUGGGCGUUUAACUUCUUUUGUGCGGGAGCAAUAAUGGUCACGUGUGGCCAGACGAGAGUACCGUACGAAUAAGCCUCGGCUAACUCCGUGCCAGCAGCCGCGGUAAUACGGGGGAUGCAAGCGUUAUCCGGAUUUAUUGGGUUUAAAGGGUGCGUAGGGCGGGAGGUAAGUCAGCGGGGCAAUGCCCCGGCUCAACGGGGUGAAGUGCCAUUGAUACUGCAGUGCUGGAGUGCGGAUGGUGUGGGAGGAAUGUGUGGUGUAGCGGUGAAAUGCAUAGAGAGCA